RNAcentral lists this long non-coding RNA (544 nucleotides) under Rattus norvegicus (Norway rat). RNAcentral describes it as "long non-coding RNA NONRATT012697". Lineage: Eukaryota; Metazoa; Chordata; Mammalia; Rodentia; Muridae. The record is from RNAcentral.
GUCCAGGGUGGGUCUUGUACCAGCUGAAAGGUUAUACAUGUCUGCCUCCUGGGGGAAUGACAGCGAAGAGCCCAGUCAUCUUAAAAGAAAUGGAAGCCUACAUACUGGAGAGAAGCUCUUCAAAUGUAAUCUAUGUGACAAGCAUUUUCUUAACAUUAUUAAUCUACACCUACAAAUUUAUAAAGGAAGACACACUGGAGAGAAAAAUCCCCCAAAAUCAUGAAUGUUAAAAAGCCUUUUUACAAUGCCUUCACUGUUAAAAAUAUAUAUGAACAUGCUGAUGAGAAACCCUUUGAAUGUGAUCAUAGUCUUAAUCAUCAUGAACAUAUUUGUAUUGGCGAGAAACAUGAAUAUAAGCAUGAUGGUAAAGCCUAUGCCCAGUACAGUUAUCUCCUAAUGCAGCAAGGAGCACAUCCUGGAAAGAGGGAGGGAAGGAGGGACUGAGGGAAUGAGGGAGUAAGGGAGAGACACCUUAUGAAUGGACAUUAUAUGGUAUUCCUUUGCAUAUCACAGUCAUCUUUUUUUUUUUUUUGAAAAGCGAGAC